CAGCGUGCUGCUUUGCUGACGUGUGGCGGAUGGGUGAGUAUGGUCUGGAGUUGUGCCUGAUGGAGGGGGAUAACUACUGGAAACGGUAGCUAAUACGGCAUAACGUCGCGCGACCCCUAGGGGGACCUUCGGGCCUCUUGCCGUCGGAUGGGCCCAGAUGGGAUUAGCUAGUUGGUGGGGUAACGGCUCACCUAGGCGACGAUCCCUAGCUGGUCUGAGAGGAUGACCAGCCACACUGGAACUGAGACACGGUCCGGACUCCUACGGGAGGCAGCAGUGGGGAAUAUUGCACAAUGGGCGCAAGCCUGAUGCAGGCAUGCCGCGUGUAUGAAGAAGGCCUUCGGGUUGUAAAGUACUUUCAGCGUGGAGGAAGGGAGUAAAGUUAAUACCUUUGCUCAUUGACGUUACCCGCAGAAGAAUGACCGGCUAACUCCGUGCCAGCAGCCGCGGUAAUACGGAGGGUGCAAGCGUUAAUCGGAAUUACUGGGCGUAAAGCGCACGCAGGCGGUUUGUUAAGUCAGAUGUGAAAUCCCCGGGCUCAACCUGGGAACUGCAUCUGAUACUGGCAAGCUUGAGUCUCGUACAGGGGUGGUAGAAUUCCUGGUGUAGCGGUGAAAUGCGUAUAGAUCUGGAGGAAUACCGGUGGC
This 647-nucleotide ribosomal RNA is filed under the name uncultured Gammaproteobacteria bacterium. RNAcentral describes it as "bacterial SSU rRNA". It matches the Rfam family "Bacterial small subunit ribosomal RNA", at positions 72 to 716 of the family's 1533-position model. The record is from RNAcentral. Lineage: Bacteria; Pseudomonadati; Pseudomonadota; Gammaproteobacteria.